UUGGUUAUUAGAAAAGCACAAACAUUCACAUUUCCAUAACAUUCCAUCCUCUUAUCACUUAUCACGUGUGAUGAUAAUCAUUACAUUUUAAUGUAAGCAUUUAGAUUAUAGCUUCUAUAUCAUAAUAUUCUAUACUCAUAUUAAAGUUAGGGAAAUCAAUGCAGAAAAAAACAGGCACUUCAUAAUUUCAAGCCCUUCAUUUUGGGUUGAUCAAUCUAAUUAAUGGUAAUACAAUUUUUUUAUUUUACCUUUAUUUAACUAGGCAAGUCAGUUAAGAACAAAUUCUUAUUUACAACGAAUGCCUAGGAACAGUGGGUUAACUGCCUUGUUUAGGGGUAGAAUUAUAUAUUUUUUUAACCUUGUCAGCUCUGGGAUUCGAUCUAGCAACCUUUCAAACAGGGAUUCCAACCAAGUUGCAGUCGUCCACUCUGGUUGUGGGGAAUUAUUCUUAGCAACAGCGGCAAUGUAUUCGGCGAGAUCAGUCAUAUUAGAAGAGUGAUCUGGGACAAAGGUACAACAUUCAUCGCCAUUGUUUGCACAAGUGUCCCCUUUACCUGCCAAAAGAUAGUUAAGAACCUCUCUGUUUUGCAGAGCCAAUUUACGCAAUUCUUUUAGCAUUGCUAAUUUUCUCUAUAUCUCUAGAGAUCUCCCGAAUUUGGCCUAGAGCACAUUCAUAUUAACUUUCACAGAGAAGAGAGAGAACACAUGUUAUAACAGUUUCACACCAACCUUGAUAAGAAUGGGAUUGGGGCAAGGUUAGCCCAAGCUACAAUCUAGUGGCUCUCCUCACAAUUUAGGGGCAUAGCUCUGUCUCUAGAAGCCUCUCCUUUCCAUGUCAUAAUUAUAAAUAUUGAUAAAUUAUCCAACCCAAAUUUAGAAUGACAGUCCUUAGUGCUUCACGUUGGUUCUAUCACGUAAAUUUAAGACCCUCAUCAAUAAAUCAAACAGAGUUUUAACGACUAACAAAUAUUAAUUAACAGGUGGGUUGUGUGUUGGUGCUGGCAUGUAUAUAGUAAAAAUCGUAGGGUAAAAACAAACAAAAUGGCCAGGCCUUACUUAAUUUGGGAGCUCCCUUAACAGCUGGAUCCGGGUACCUUUAACUGCUCUCCUAAGGCACUUGCCUUGGGCAUCCUUUCAAAGGGAGAGAUACAGAAUCAUUGAUAAACAUAGAAAAAAAACUUGAUAUACACAUCAGAUGAUACAGUGUCCCGUCAAGCUGAAUAGGCACCUUCUAAAGUAAACAAAGCCAGAGUCCCUCUCUUGUAAUCAUUGUCAUUUCGACCUGUUGCGUUGACAUACAAUUCUGUACAAACUAUCCCUGGGACAUAAACUUAGUCUCAAUAUAAAACCUGUUGUUUAACAAAUCUGCUAGGACCUUCAAAAAGUUGGUGCUGGCUUAUCAGCUCAAUAUUCGGUACUAAAAACAUUUACUUGGAUCUACUUCUUCUGGACACAGUUCCACGUAAUGGAAACAUAUUGUUGUUUUAGAUGACAUUACCUUCUUACUUUAAUCCCUGGUGCUACCCAUACUAUAGAAUUGAGUAAUACAUUGUCAAAAACGUGUCUUAUUCAAUUAUUCAUACCUCUGUCCCAAAUUUCCCAUCGUGUCUUGUACAGCCUGUUUGAAUUCAGUGUGUACUGGCAGCUAUUGUUCCACAGGAAGCUGAUCUCUAACCCAAACAACAGAUUACUUAAACACAAGAGCAAUGGACCAGGCCUUGAAGAGUGAGCCUGGUCCAAUGCUCAAUCCCUUUGUCUUACUACUUGAAAUUACUCAGAUAUUAUGUUAUUGGAGUGCUAUCUGAAAGCCAAUUACUAUUCACUUUGUUACUUUCACUAGUCUCCAUAUCUGUUUCCUUCUUUCCCAAUAGGAAGACCUUCUCAAUCACUUUGUUAAUACACACAGAUCACUCUCAAACAACAUUCUGUUUUCUCCCCUAUUGCAAGGUUUAAAACAAAACAAACAUGAUAACCUUCUCCAUAUUGGAAGGCAUUGAUUUCAUUUUAGUCUAACCUAACAAUGUUAGUCUAUAUAUUUAUUUCAAUUUUCUGUUGGAUAUUCACUUUCUGCUUCACACUUAUUAAAUGUCUAUUUUAAGCUUCAUAUGUAAUAUGCCAAAUGUAUAAAAUACAUUGGUCAAUUUAGAAGGGGAGAGAUAGGCAGUGCUAGCCUAGUUAUAAUAACUGUUUAUCAGUUCACUGUCAUUGGAAUGUUCUAUCCAUAAGGUUUCUGGCACUUGAGACAAAAUAGACUGGGAGGCAGUGUCAGACCCCCAGUCAUCCUGGGGGACUGGUUCAAUUUGCCUGCUUACUCAUUGGUUUAAUAUCUCAUCGUUUGGGAUAUCAACAAAAACUCCAUCAGAGGUACAAUCAAUUGUAGCCUUAAGUUUAGUUAACAGAAAAUCAUGUUCAACAUUCAUUGGUUCUAUUUAUAGUUUAAAUUGUUAGGGGUAAGUCAAGUCCCAUACAAUGCUUUAACCUUAUCAUACCUCAGAUUAUCCAUAAAGGGAUCACUCUGAACAUUUCUCAUAAUACCUUUGACACAACUUACAUAGUCUACAUGUGGGUGUGCAAAUUGUAUAUCUUUUUUUUUCUAUUGUUACAUCUCUAGUAACCCAUUAUGCUCAAUAUUAUGUUACUUUAUCUCUAAAGUUUCAAUCUCUUAUUAUCCAAAUGUCAAUCAGCUAUUUAUCCAUAUUUCUUAAUAUCCACAUUUCAAUCAAUCUUAUUAUUCAAAUUUCAAUCAGCUUAGUUUGUCAUAUCUCACAAUCACGCAACUUUCACAUCGACUUUCACUUUCACAAAAUCACUCCCUAAAAACAAAAUCCUAUGGAACAAUCCUUGGAUUGCUUUUCAGAAUGCACAUUGGUCCACAUGGACAACUAGGUGAAGGAUGUUUUGAACUAACAAAAAGAGUUCUACAAGCAGUUGUUACAAAAAUAACAAAAUAGCUUGAAGUGUUUUGUCCAAAUAUAGGUGGAGUCAACUAAUAAAAGAAUGUAUGACCUGACCAGAGAGGUCCAGGACCUGAAGAACAGUUUGCAGUUCUCCCAGUGUCUGCUUGAUGAGUUUAAACAGGAGAACGGCAAGAUGACAGCAAUCUGUAAAUCAUUGAGAGAGGACAUCAAUUCUGUGUAUGAAUCCAUGAUAACAAUGACGGAUAAAUCAAAUUAUCUCGAGGGACAAUCAAGACGGAACAACAUGGUUGUGGACGGAAUUGCAGAAUCUCCACGAGACAUGGAGGGAGUCUGAUGACAAAGUGAGGGAAGUGAUCUCAGAGAAAUUGAAGAUGGACCAGCGGAAGAUUGAGGUGGAGCGCACCAACAGAACUGGAAAUCCCACCACCGGUCCAGGUGACAUGCCCAGGCCGAGGUUGCUGUUCUGGAAGGUAGCUGUUCUAGAAAGAGCCAAGAACUUGAGAGGAAUGUACAUCUUCCUCAACAAGGACUAUCCUGAAGCUGUGCGCCAGAAGAGAAAAUACCUUACCCCAGCCAUGAAAGCUGCCAGAGCGAGUGUGGACAUUGCUUACAUCCGCUAUGACAGGCUCAUUGUCCACCCUCCCUCCUAAAAAUGCCUGGAAGGGAUGAGAGAACCAAGACUAUGGAUUCAUAGCUUUAACCUCACAGCACACACCACACUUUCGAACACCAACUGAUUAAUGGAUUGCAGAAUGUAUAUUUUUGUCUCUUGCUUUCUCUGAUAAGCUACCCAGGAAAGGGCUGAAAAUAGCCCAUAUUAAUAUAUGUAGCCUAAGAAAUAAGGUUAAUGAAAUCAAUAACUUGCUGACAUCAGAUAACAUUCAUCUAUUAGCCAUUUCUGAGACUCACUUAGAUAAUUAAUUUGAUGAUACAAUACAAGGAUAUAACAUCUAUAGAAGAGGCAGAAAUGCUUAUGGGAAGUGUUGCUGUAUAUAUUCAGAGCCAUAUCCCUGUAAUGCUUAGAGAAGCUCAUAUGUCAAGUGUUAUUGAAGUGUUGUGGUUUCAGGUUCACUUGGCCCAUCUAAAGCCUUUUCUUUUGGGGUGUUGCUAUAGGCCAACAAGUGCUAACAGUCAGUAUCUAAAUAAUAUGUGUGAAAUGCUUGAUAGUGUAUGUGAGGUAAACAGAGAGGUCUACUUUCUUGGGGACCUGAAUAUUGACUGGUUUUCAUCAAGCUGUCCGCUCAAGAGGAACCUUCUUACUGUAACCAGUGCCUGUAAUCUGGUUCAGGUUAUUAGUCAACCUACCAGGGUGUUUACCAACACUACAGGAACAAGAUCAUCCACAUGUAUCGAUCACAUUUUUAGAACUUUGUUCUAAAGCUGUAUCCAUACCCAUUGGAUGCAGUGAUCACAAUAUUGUGGCUAUAUCCAGGAAAGCCUAAGUUCCAAAAACUGUGCCUAAAAUUGUGUAUAAGGGAUCAUACAAAAGAUUUUGCUGUAGAUGAUGUAAAAAAUAUUUGUUGGCAAGUCAGUUAAGAACAAGUUCUUAUUUACAAUGAUGGCCUACAAAGGAACAGUGCUUUGUUCAGGGACAGGAUGACAGAUUUUUAAACCUUGUCAGCUCAGUGAUUCGAUCCAGCAACCUUUAAUUUACUGGCCCAACACUCUAACCACUAGGCUACAUAUCGCCCUAAAAUGAAUAAGGAGCAUCCAGAUGCUGCACUUCAUGAAUUUAUGAAAUAGCUUUUUCCAAUUAUUGAUAAACAUGCACCUGUUAAGAAGCUGACUGUUUGAACUGUUCAGGCUCAGUGGAUUGAUGAGGAAUCGAAAAACGUUACGGUUGAAAGAGAUGAGGCAAAAGGAGUGGCUAAUAAGUCUGGCUGCACAUCUGAUCCUCAUGUAGCUACCCUGCACACCAGCUGCCAAACCUUCAAUCUGCACUACAGCUAAAGUACACAGAACACUACAGCUUCCUCUUUCUAUGUAUAUUUGGGUGGACACUUGACUUUCUUAUCACCCCUUGCAACAUUUCUCCUUCACCCUGCUUGAGUUAGUGGGUUGGUUUAUCUAUCAAUCUAUCAAAGUCUCUCUGUCACUCUCUCUCUCUGUCUUUCUCUCUCUGUCUCAGUACAUUGUUGUAAUGAUGUGCAAACAGUUAAAGUACGAAAGGGAAAAUAAAUAAACAUAAAUAUAAGUUGUAUUUACAAUGGUGUUUGUUCUUCACUGUUUGCCCUUUUCUUGUGGCAACGGGUCACACAUCUUGCUGAUGUGAUGGCACUCUGUGGUAUUUCACCCAAUAGAUAUGGGAGUUUAUCAAAAUUGUAUUUGUUUUCGAAUUCUUUGUGGAUCUGUGUAAUCUGAGGGAAAUACGUGUCUCUAAUAUGGUCACACAUUCGGCAGGAGGUUCUCUCUCUCUCUCUCUCUGUCUCUCUGUGUUUCUCUCUCUCCGCCCACAUUAUAUCCCCUCUCGCUCUAUUUCUUACACGUCUAUCUUUAAGUUUCUGUAUCCCCAUCUCUUGUUAAAAAAGUGCCACCACUAACACCUGCCUCGUUGGGUCUGUCUCUCUUGAAACCAUCAUUCAGACUGUUCAUUUUAUAGCAACACAUUGGUGAGUUUACUUUUUUUUUUUUAAAUCAAUCAUAAUUCAUCAAAUCGCCCCUAUGUUUAGCAUUUUAUGGCGUGGAUCUGUUUGAACAUUUUCUCUCAACUUCCUAUGUGUGACCAUCUUGUCACGGCUCUUUCCACUCUCUGUAUGUCCAUCCUUCAGCUUCCCACUCUCCACUGAAUCUCUCCCUCCACAUCUCCUCCUCACUUUUCUUCCACCACUGUUUCUCUCCUUCCACUGUGUUUUUAUUCAGUCUUUUUAGGACUUUUACAUAUUUCCACCCCUUUUCUUUUUUUUGUGUGUGACCAUGGUGUAUUUAGUUUCAGAACUGUUAGAAGAAUCUUAGUUUAUGUAGUUCAGUCCUUGAGCUGUUCUUGUCUAUUGAGGUUUUGUAUUAUAUCAUGUUUUAUUACUUGUGUGGAGCCCAGGAAGUGUAGCUGCACCUUCAGCAACAGCUAAUGGGUAUCUGAAUAAAAUGCCAAUAACAAUCUACAAAAUGAAAUAAUUGCAUUGGGGGUGAAGGGUGUGGUUAAUGGUUACAUAUCAAGUGGGCCUUUGCUUAAAACAUUUAUGUUAUCUGUGCUAAUGCUGCAUAAGUGCUAUGCAUAUAAACAGAGUAUGUAAACAGCACAUCCCUCAGUGAGAUCCUUAUUAAAGAUCCUUAUUAAAUCAGUGUGCCACCCCAAUACAGCUACCUUUACAAAGGCAGUCUAAUUCUAAUAUUUCUCCUACUAAUUGGUCUUUUGACCAAUCACAUCAGCUCUGAAAAAGAUCUGAUGUGAAAAGAUCUACUGUGGUUGUUCAAAAGACCAAUUAGUGGAAAAAAGGUCAGAAUUGGCUGCCUGUCUAAACACAGCCUACUGUACCCUGCCUGCCUGCAUCACAUGAAAAUGUGUAAUGGGAAAUGUUCAGAUAUGCCUUCAACUUAUUGGCUGGUUGGUCAUAUGCAUAAAUGUAAAGGCAUUGUAGGAUGUAGAAAGAGAGAGAAAACAUUGCUUAACAUAUUUUGCAUAAUCAAGUUGGCAAUCUAGGAUUAACUAUGCCUUGUUGAUAACUUUAAUCUGAUGAGCAGAAUGUCACAUUUGUACGUCAUAUGAAACAACAAGUCCACAUACUCUACCGUUCCAAAGUUUGGUGUCACUGAGAAAUGUCUUUGCUUUUGAAAGAAAAAAAGCACAUUUUUAUCCAUUAAAAUAACAUCAAAAUGAUCAGAAAUACAGUGUAGACAUUGAUAAUGUUGUAAAUGACUAUUGUAGCUGGAAAUUGUAGUUUUUUUUGUGGAAUAUCUACAUAAGCGUACAGAGGGCCAUUAUCAGCAACCAUCACUCCUGUGUUUAAAUGGCACAUUGUGUUAGCUAAUCCAAGUUUAUCAUUUUAAAAGGCUAAUUGAUCAUUAGAAAACCCUUUUGCAAUUAUGUUAGCACAGCUGAAAACUGUUGUGCUGUUUAAAGAAGCAAUAAAACUGGCCUUCUUUAGACUAGUUGAGUAUCUGGAGCCAGAAAUGGCCAGAAAUGGCCAGAAACAUAGGACUUUCUUCUGAAACUCGUCAGUCUAUUCUGGUUCUGAGAAAUGCAAGAGGACAAGUACAUUAGAAUGUUUAGUUUGAGAAACCAACGCUUCACAAGUCCUCAACUGGCAGCUUCAUUAAAUAGUACCCGCAAAACACCAGUCUCAACGUCAACAGUGAAGAGGCAAGUCCGGGAUGCUGGCCUUCUAGGCAGAGUUCCUCUGUCCAGUGUAUGUGUUCUUUUGCCCAUCUUAAUCUUUUCUUUUUAUUGGCCAGUGAGAUAUGGCUUUUUCUUUGCAACUCUGCCUUGAACAAGAACAAGAAUAAGGGUUUUGUAACGAAUCUCUUCGUCGUCUGAGGAGGAGUAGGAAGGAUCAGACCCAUAUGCAGCGUGAUCCAGUCAUUAAUAAAUCAAUGUAUGGAUCACCUCCAAUUGAAAGGAAAUAAACUGGAUCUCCACCGCAGCAGUUUUACCUUGGAUUGAGCAAAGAUUUCUUCAACUUUUCUGAGAACUAUUUGAAGAGGCAUGACUAAUUCCGAUCCAGAAAUGAAAGACCAAACCACAUCCUCCUUUGUCGUCUUGACUGUCUUCUUCAUCCUGGUCACCCUCGUUGUCGUCCUGGUCGUCCUGUACAUGUGGCUAAACCGCCAGACUAAUGGCCAGUACACAGUCCACCAACUGGUCCUUGGGGAGGGUGGGGCCAGGGACCGGGUGAGGGGUGGGGUCCAAGUCCUAGAGGUGUGGUUCAGGCGUCGCCUUUGGCCUCUCAGUGAGGAUGAGGAGACUGUAGGAGAGGAGGAACAGAGAGACAAAGAGGAGGAUGUAGAGAGAGUGAGUGAGGGAGGGGAAAGCAAGGGGGAGGGGAAGAAGGAGGAGGGGGAUGAGAGGGAGGGCCGAGUGGAUGACUCUUCGGAUGAGUACUCCAGUGAGGAGGACUGUGGCCUGACGGAGAGUGUGAAGGUCAUGGACGAGAAGAAGGAGAGGAGAGAGUGUGAGGGGAAGCGAGAGGAGAAUAUGGAAGAAAAUGGGGAUAGCAAAGGUGAUGAGGGAGCAGUGGGAGGAGAAGAAAGUGGACAGGGAGGUUUGCUGAUACACCUGCAUCAGUCCUCUGGUAGUGCUAUCUGGUCUGAAGAUUAUGAGGGAGGCAAAGACAACAAUCAUGUGACUGCAUUGUGAGGAAAGGAUCAGAAAGGGGAAAGAGUUCCAUUAAUACAUUUUUGUACAGUAAUAGCGCUUGACAGAACAUUGGCUACUUGUCAUCAUCACCAUCAUUGUCAUAAUUGUCAUAAUUGUAAACCUUACAAACCAGUGUUAUAACAAUCAAGGCAGAAAACAACAGAGUGUACUAAAUCAAUCCAAUCAUCAAAGUGACUGACAAGAGCAACAAUUGCAGCUUGAAUACAUGAAGCUAUAUAAAUGUAUUUUAGAUAUAAAAUAUAAUUUUUAAACGGUAUCAAAGUUUCAUGGGUUUCAAAGUUUUGGGGUUUGCACUGUUGCUAUGAGAUAAUUUGUAUUGUAAAUAUUUGUGUUCUGUAUAUUUUAUGAAUUUAAUAGCUAUUUAGAUCCUUCUUCCUGGAGAUCUACUGUCCUGUAGGUUUUCAGUCUAAUCCUAAUUUAGCAUAUCUGAUUCAGCUAGUUAAGGUAUUGUUGAGCAGCUAAUUCGUAGAAUCAGGUCUGUUAAAUUAGGGUUGGACUGAAAACCCACAGGAAGGUAGAUCUCCAGGAAGAGGGUUGUGCAGCCCUGGCCUAUGGCUUGACUUUGUGCUAUACUGUUUCAUGUCUUAUGUGCAUGAUGUUUAUUUCCAGAGUGACAAUUUUAUACUUUUUAUUAUCUGAUACAACUUAAAGGCCCAGUGCAGUCAAAAUUAUGUUUUGUCUCAUGUUGUACAGCAACUCAUGGAACAAACACUGUAAAAGUGUGAAAAGAUUUGAUCAGUGUUAUUCCUGAUAGUUGCUGGUGGAAAAUACAAUCUACACAGGGCCUUUACAUUUUUAUUUUUGAUGAGAGACUGUUACAGAGGAGUGUAAAUGUUUUUUAAGGCUGGAACAUGUUGUUGAAUCGUAUUGUUGUAUGUUGUAAUUCUGUAAUGUAUUGAUUGUUGUUGCCUUUUUGGCCAGGUCUCCAUUGAAAAAGAGGGUCUUAAUGUGCUUUUCCUGGUUAAAUGAAGGUUAAGAACAUUUUUUUAAAUCAGCAGGUUUGCAUGGCAUUCCCCUCCCACUCAGACCACUUCCUGACAGUCCUAGCAAAAUUCUUGCCUGAGAAUUUUUUGUUGUUGCAAAAAGGCUAUUGUUGUCCAUUUUAAUGAAAAACUAUUAUAGUAAGGUUCUUAAUUGUUACCCAGAAGUAAUUUGAUAUUGAUAUAAAAACGGUUGCAUGAGGCUUUUAAGUGUUUGCGCUGAUGUGAUUAUAUUGUCUGUUUCCUUUUCUUAAAACUGCAUUGUUGGUUAAGGGCUUGUAAGCAAGCAAUUCACUGUUGUAUUCGGCGCAUGUGAUAAAUAAUAUUUGAUUUGAUUUAAUUUGAUUGAUAGUUUUUUGUUGAAAUAAAAAAAAUAUUUUCUAAAUGAUUAUUA
Oncorhynchus tshawytscha (Chinook salmon) is the source of this 9603-nucleotide long non-coding RNA. NCBI's taxonomy places the organism in Eukaryota, Metazoa, Chordata, Actinopteri, Salmoniformes, Salmonidae. The record is from Ensembl.